GACGAGGUGGCCGAGUGGUUAAGGCGUUGGACUGCUAAUCCAACGGGGUCUCCCCGCGUGAGUUCGAAUCUCAUCCUCGUCG
RNAcentral lists this transfer RNA (82 nucleotides) under Amphibalanus amphitrite. RNAcentral's name for it is "tRNA-Ser". It matches the Rfam family "tRNA". Rfam says of the family: Transfer RNA (tRNA) molecules are approximately 80 nucleotides in length. Their secondary structure includes four short double-helical elements and three loops (D, anti-codon, and T loops). The record is from RNAcentral. Lineage: Eukaryota; Metazoa; Arthropoda; Thecostraca; Balanomorpha; Balanidae.